This 71-nucleotide transfer RNA is filed under the name Marmota monax (woodchuck). Its description in RNAcentral is "tRNA.Ala". It matches the Rfam family "tRNA". From Rfam's summary of the family: Transfer RNA (tRNA) molecules are approximately 80 nucleotides in length. Their secondary structure includes four short double-helical elements and three loops (D, anti-codon, and T loops). Lineage: Eukaryota; Metazoa; Chordata; Mammalia; Rodentia; Sciuridae. The record is from RNAcentral.
GGGGUUGUGGCUCAGUGGUAAAGUGCUUGCCUAGCAUGCAUGAGGCACUGGGUUCAAUCCUCAGCACCACA